Molecule: transfer RNA, 89 nt
Filed under: Pseudonocardia halophobica
Lineage: Bacteria; Bacillati; Actinomycetota; Actinomycetes; Pseudonocardiales; Pseudonocardiaceae
Description: tRNA-Arg
Source: RNAcentral
AUCGGCUGAGCGGCGGACGGCCCGACGACGGAGCGGGGCCGCGCGGUGACACACCGUGCGGCCCCGGUUCCGCGUCCGGAGGCCGUUUC